GAGUUUGAUCCUGGCUCAGGACGAACGCUGGCGGCGUGCCUAAUACAUGCAAGUAGAACGCUGAAGGAGGAGCUUGCUUCUCUGGAUGAGUUGCGAACGGGUGAGUAACGCGUAGGUAACCUGCCUGGUAGCGGGGAUAACUAUUGGAACGAUAGCUAAUACCGCAUAAGAGUGGAUGUUGCAUGACAUUUGCUUAAAAGGUGCACUUGCAUCACUACCAGAUGGACCUGCGUUGUAUUAGCUAGUUGGUGGGGUAAGGGCUCACCAAGGCGACGAUACAUAGCCGACCUGAGAGGGUGAUCGGCCACACUGGGACUGAGACACGGCCCAGACUCCUACGGGAGGCAGCAGUAGGGAAUCUUCGGCAAUGGACGGAAGUCUGACCGAGCAACGCCGCGUGAGUGAAGAAGGUUUUCGGAUCGUAAAGCUCUGUUGUAAGAGAAGAACGAGUGUGAGAGUGGAAAGUUCACACUGUGACGGUAUCUUACCAGAAAGGGACGGCUAACUACGUGCCAGCAGCCGCGGUAAUACGUAGGUCCCGAGCGUUGUCCGGAUUUAUUGGGCGUAAAGCGAGCGCAGGCGGUUAGAUAAGUCUGAAGUUAAAGGCUGUGGCUUAACCAUAGUAGGCUUUGGAAACUGUUUAACUUGAGUGCAAGAGGGGAGAGUGGAAUUCCAUGUGUAGCGGUGAAAUGCGUAGAUAUAUGGAGGAACACCGGUGGCGAAAGCGGCUCUCUGGCUUGUAACUGACGCUGAGGCUCGAAAGCGUGGGGAGCAAACAGGAUUAGAUACCCUGGUAGUCCACGCUGUAAACGAUGAGUGCUAGGUGUUAGACCCUUUCCGGGGUUUAGUGCCGUAGCUAACGCAUUAAGCACUCCGCCUGGGGAGUACGACCGCAAGGUUGAAACUCAAAGGAAUUGACGGGGGCCCGCACAAGCGGUGGAGCAUGUGGUUUAACUCGAAGCAACGCGAAGAACCUUACCAGGUCUUGACAUCCCUCUGACCGCUCUAGAGAUAGAGUUUUCCUUCGGGACAGAGGUGACAGGUGGUGCAUGGUUGUCGUCAGCUCGUGUCGUGAGAUGUUGGGUUAAGUCCCGCAACGAGCGCAACCCCUAUUGUUAGUUGCCAUCAUUUAGUUGGGCACUCUAGCGAGACUGCCGGUAAUAAACCGGAGGAAGGUGGGGAUGACGUCAAAUCAUCAUGCCCCUUAUGACCUGGGCUACACACGUGCUACAAUGGCUGGUACAACGAGUCGCAAGCCGGUGACGGCAAGCUAAUCUCUUAAAGCCAGUCUCAGUUCGGAUUGUAGGCUGCAACUCGCCUACAUGAAGUCGGAAUCGCUAGUAAUCGCGGAUCAGCACGCCGCGGUGAAUACGUUCCCGGGCCUUGUACACACCGCCCGUCACACCACGAGAGUUUGUAACACCCGAAGUCGGUGAGGUAACCGUAAGGAGCCAGCCGCCUAAGGUGGGAUAGAUGAUUGGGGUGAAGUCGUAACAAGGUAGCCGUAUCGGAAGGUGCGGCUGGAUCACC
Molecule: ribosomal RNA, 1530 nt
Filed under: Streptococcus pneumoniae GA16531
Lineage: Bacteria; Bacillati; Bacillota; Bacilli; Lactobacillales; Streptococcaceae
Description: bacterial SSU rRNA
Rfam family: Bacterial small subunit ribosomal RNA
Source: RNAcentral